Molecule: ribosomal RNA, 497 nt
Filed under: uncultured bacterium
Lineage: Bacteria
Description: partial 16S ribosomal RNA
Rfam family: Bacterial small subunit ribosomal RNA
Source: RNAcentral
GAUGAACGCUGGCGGCGUGCCUAAUACAUGCAAGUCGAGCGAACAGACGAGGAGCUUGCUCCUCUGACGUUAGCGGCGGACGGGUGAGUAACACGUGGAUAACCUACCUAUAAGACUGGGAUAACUUCGGGAAACCGGAGCUAAUACCGGAUAAUAUAUAGAACCGCAUGGUUCAAUAGUGAAAGACGGUUUUGCUGUCACUUAUAGAUGGAUCCGCGCCGCAUUAGCUAGUUGGUAAGGUAACGGCUUACCAAGGCAACGAUGCGUAGCCGACCUGAGAGGGUGAUCGGCCACACUGGAACUGAGACACGGUCCAGACUCCUACGGGAGGCAGCAGUAGGGAAUCUUCCGCAAUGGGCGAAAGCUUGACGGAGCAACGCCGCGUGAGUGAUGAAGGUCUUCGGAUCGUAAAACUCUGUUAUUAGGGAAGGACAAAUGUGUAAGUAACUAUGCACGUCUUGACGGUACCUAAUCAGAAAGCCACGGCUAACUACGUG